GGGCCGGUGGUCUAGUUGGUUAGGACGCGACCCUCACACGGUCGAGAUCGGGAGUUCGAAUCUCCCCUGGCCCA
Molecule: transfer RNA, 74 nt
Filed under: Candidatus Aenigmatarchaeota archaeon
Lineage: Archaea; Nanobdellati; Candidatus Aenigmatarchaeota
Description: tRNA-Val
Rfam family: tRNA
About the family: Transfer RNA (tRNA) molecules are approximately 80 nucleotides in length.
Source: RNAcentral